GCAGCGGGUCGUGGCGACAUUGCGAACUUGAGGACUGGUGAUGUGGCUAGCAGGGAAACUUUGGCAGUGAACCUUGGCAACAAUAUGAUCUCUCAGAACAACUUGAGGACUGGCAAUGUGGCUAGCAGGGAAAAUUUGGCGGCGAACCUUGCCAACAGUAUAAUCGCUCAGAACAACUUGAGGACUGCCGAUAUGGUUAGCAGGGAAAAUUUGGCUGCGAACCUUGGCAACAGUAUGAUCUCUCAGAGCAUUGAUGCUUCGGGCAAGGAAAUGCCAUUCAGUCGUGGUGACAAUGCU
RNAcentral lists this long non-coding RNA (297 nucleotides) under Brachypodium distachyon (stiff brome). RNAcentral's name for it is "long non-coding RNA (BDIS_LNC001798)". Lineage: Eukaryota; Viridiplantae; Streptophyta; Magnoliopsida; Poales; Poaceae. The record is from RNAcentral.